RNAcentral lists this ribosomal RNA (566 nucleotides) under uncultured bacterium. Its description in RNAcentral is "bacterial SSU rRNA". It matches the Rfam family "Bacterial small subunit ribosomal RNA", at positions 338 to 910 of the family's 1533-position model. The record is from RNAcentral.
CCUACGGGAGGCAGCAGUAAGGAAUAUUGCGCAAUGGGCGAAAGCCUGACGCAGCGACGCCGCGUGGGGGAUGAAGGUCUUCGGAUUGUAAACCCCUUUCGGGAGGGAAGAUGGAGCGAGCAAUCGUUCGGACGGUACCUCCAGAAGCAGCCACGACCAACUUCGUGCCAGCAGCCGCGGUAAUACGAAGGUGGCAAGCGUUGUUCGGGUUCACUGGGUGUACAGGGUGUGUAGGCGGUUUGGUAAGCCUUCUGUUAAAGCUUCGGGCCCAACCCGGAAAGCGCAGAGGGUACUGCCAGGCUAGAGGGUGGGAGAGGAGCGCGGAAUUCCCGGUGUAGCGGUGAAAUGCGUAGAGAUCGGGAGGAAGGCCGGUGGCGAAGGCGGCGCUCUGGAACAUACCUGACGCUGAGACACGAAAGCGUGGGGAGCAAACAGGAUUAGAUACCCUGGUAGUCCACGCCCUAAACUAUGGAUACUAAGUGUCGGCGGGUUACCGCCGGUGCCGCAGCUAACGCAUUAAGUAUCCCGCCUGGGAAGUACGGCCGCAAGGUGAAACUCAAAGGAAU